Molecule: ribosomal RNA, 440 nt
Filed under: uncultured bacterium
Lineage: Bacteria
Description: partial 16S ribosomal RNA
Rfam family: Bacterial small subunit ribosomal RNA
Source: RNAcentral
CCUACGGGAGACAGCAGUGGGGAAUAUUGCACAAUGGGGGAAACCCUGAUGCAGCGACGCCGCGUGAGUGAGGAAGUAUUUCGGUAUGUAAAGCUCUAUCAGCAGGGAAGAAAAUGACGGUACCUGUCUAAGAAGCCCCGGCUAACUACGUGCCAGCAGCCGCUGUAAUACGUAGGGGGCAAGCGGUAUCCGGAUUUACUGGGUGUAAAGGGAGGGUAGACGGGUAAUCAAGUCAGAAGGGAAAACCCAGGGCUCAACCUUGGGACUGCCUUUGAAACUGAGUAGCUAGAGUGCAGGAGAGGUAUGCGGAAUGCGUGGUGUAGCGGUGAAAUGCGUAGAUAUUAGGAGGAACACCAGUGGCGAAGGCAGCAUACUGGAGUGUAACUGACGUUGAGGCACGAAAGCGUGGGGAGCGAACAGGAUUAGAUACCCCUGUAGUC